UUCCGGAGAGGGAGCCUGAGAAACGGCUACCACAUCCAAGGAAGGCAGCAGGCGCGUAAAUUACCCAAUCCUGACAUAGGGAGGUAUGUA
This 90-nucleotide ribosomal RNA is filed under the name Heterosigma akashiwo. RNAcentral's name for it is "partial Eukaryotic small subunit ribosomal RNA". It matches the Rfam family "Eukaryotic small subunit ribosomal RNA", at positions 381 to 466 of the family's 1831-position model. Lineage: Eukaryota; Raphidophyceae; Chattonellales; Chattonellaceae. The record is from RNAcentral.